GAAGUAGAGCAUUUAUUAAUAAUAAGAACAAUAUAACAAUGCAAAGGUAAUAUAUUUAAACAUAGCACAAAAUAUCUAUAAGGAUAUGUCCUAUACCAGAACACAUUUUUACAAUCAUAAUCACAUUAAAGAGUAAGCAGAUUUUAUACUGGUGUAGUCAAACUUUCCCCUCUCUUAACAGGGAUUGAUAGGAGCCGUUCAUGCUUUGGCAUAGGCCCCUGUAGAUUUUUCUUGAGAUCCACUUCCUGUUGCCUUGGAGUUUGAAGUGUUACAGGUUACCAUUGUGAUGCUGAUUAGUCUAUGGCUUGAGGGUAAAUAAUCCUGGUAUUGUAUCAAUACAACAGAACUUUUAAGUGUAUCCAUCAUAUAGUUAAUUCAACAACCAAAGACAAUUAAAUGGGAAUAUGCUAGUGUUUUUUUGUUUUGUAUUCAGUUCCUCCGGCAUAGGCCCAAGUCCAGUGAAAAGAAAAUAGCACACAGGAGAGAA
Molecule: long non-coding RNA, 487 nt
Filed under: Bos taurus (domestic cattle)
Lineage: Eukaryota; Metazoa; Chordata; Mammalia; Artiodactyla; Bovidae
Description: long non-coding RNA NONBTAT001248
Source: RNAcentral